RNAcentral lists this long non-coding RNA (2160 nucleotides) under Salmo salar (Atlantic salmon). RNAcentral describes it as "lncRNA (ENSSSAG00000103323.1)". The record is from RNAcentral. Lineage: Eukaryota; Metazoa; Chordata; Actinopteri; Salmoniformes; Salmonidae.
GUAAAACAGCUUGAAAUACAACAUCUGUUUCAUGUCAAUGAAUGUGUGUUCAUAUCACACCUUAAAAAUGCGUCAUGAGCUCAUCUCCCCUUCGAACCUGCUGCUGACCCAUCCAGACCCUGUGGACAUCCGUUGGCUAACAUUCUCUUUAUCUAAUAUACACUAACCGGACAGUUUAUUAGGUACACACCGGGUCGGAUCCUCCUUUUCCUCCAGAACAGCCAGAAUUUUUCGGGGCAUUCUACAAGUUGUCUGAAACGUUCCACAGGGAUGCUGGUUCAUGCUGAUGUGAUGGCAUCACGCAGUUGCUGCAGAUUGAACGGCAAUACAUUCAUGCUGCGAACAGCCCAUUCCAUCUCAUCCCAAAGAUGCUGUACUGGGUUGAGGUCUGAGGACUGAGCAGGCCACUCAAGUAAACUGAACUUUCUGUCAUGCUCCAGGCGAUGUUUUUCCACUCCUUGAUUGUCCAUUGUUGAUGAUCAUGUUCCCACUGGAGCCGCUGCUUCUUGUUUUUAGCUGAUAGGAGUGGAACCCGGUGUGGUUGUCUGCAGCAAUAGCCAAUCCCCGACAAGGAUCGACAAGUUGUGCGUUCUGAGAUGCUGUUCGGCACACCACUGUUGUACUGCGUCAUUAUUUGUCUGUUUGUGGCCCGCCUGUUGGCUUGCACGAUUCUUGCCAUUCUCUUUUGACCUCUCAUCAACGAGUUGUUUUCGCCAACAGGACUGCCGCAGAAUGGAUGUUUUUUUGUUUGUCGCACCAUUCACGGUAAACUCUAGACACUGUUGUGCCUGAAAAGCCCAGGAAGGUGGCCAUUUCUGAGAACAGGAGUGUCUGGCACCGACGAUCAUAACAUGCUUAAAGUCACUUACGUCAGUUGUUUUGUCCAUUCUAACGUUCAAUGGAACAGUAACUGAAUGCCUCAAUCCCUGUCUCCCUGCUUUAUAUAGCAAGUCACGGCCACGUGACUCACUGUCUGUAAGAGCGAUCCAUUUUCGUAAAUGGGGUGGUGUACCAAAUAAACUGGCCGAUGAGUGAGUUGUUUUUGGGAGUGUCUGUACUUUACUUUACUAUUUAUAUUUUUGACAACUUUUACUUUUACUUCGUCACAUUCAUAAAGAAAAUAAUGUAUUUUUACUCAAUACAAUUUCCCUGACACCAAAAAGUACUCAUUACAUUUUGAAUACCUAGCAGGACAGGAAAUGGUCCAAUUCACACACUUAUCAAGAGAACAUCCCUGGUCAUCUCUACGGCCUCUGAUCUGGCGGCCUGAGUAUUGGAGUGUGUCCCUGGCUAUCCGUAAAUUAAGAAAACAUCCCGGUUUGCUUCAUAAAAGGAAUUUGAAAUUAUUUUUACUUUUGAUACUUAAGUAUAUUUUAGCAAUUACAUUUACUUUUGAUACUUAGGUAUAUUUAAAACCAAAUACUUUUUACUUAAGUAGUAUUUUACUGGGUGACUUUUACUUGAGUCAUUUUCUAUUAAGCUAUCUUUACUUUUGCUCAAGUGUGACAAUUGGGUAGUUUUUCCACCACUGAUUGCAUUCUACCACCUGGAAUGUCAUUGCAUUCUACCACCAGAAUAUUUCUAGAUUUGUACACUGAACAAAAACAUAAAUGCAACUUGAAGUGCUGAAGAAAAAAAAAUCCAGGAAAUGUUCCAUAUGCACACAUUUGUUUACAUCCUUGUUAGUGAGCUUUUCUCCUUUGCCAAGAUAAUCCAUCCACCUGACAGUUGUCAUAAAGAAGCUGAUUAAACAGCAUGAUCAUUACACAGGUGCACCUUGUGCAGGGGGACAAUAAAAGGCCACUUUAAAAUGUACAGUUUUGUCACACAACACAAUGCCACAGAUGUCUCAAGUUUUGAGGGAGCAUGCAGAUGGCAUGCUGACUGCAGGAAUGUCCACCAGAGCUCUUGCCAGAUAAUUUUAUGUUAAUUUCUCUACCAUAAGCUACCUCCGUCGUUUUAGAGAAAUUGUCUACGCACAACCGGCCUCGCAACCGCAGACCACGUGGGGGUUGCUGUGGAGCGUUUCUGUCUGUAGUAAAGCCCUUUUGUGGGGAAAAAAAUAUUUGUGAUUGGCUGAGCCUGGUGGUGGGUGGCCCUGGCUGCCAAGUGGGUAGGCCCAACCAUGGCUACACCUCUGCCCAAUCAUGUGAAAUCCAU